Molecule: long non-coding RNA, 1631 nt
Organism: Oncorhynchus tshawytscha (Chinook salmon)
Lineage: Eukaryota; Metazoa; Chordata; Actinopteri; Salmoniformes; Salmonidae
Exons: 3
Source: RefSeq, a predicted model, not a curated record
CUCAGUAAAAUAUUUCAAAUUGUUGUAUGUUUUAUAUUUUUGUUCAGUAUAGUUAUCUGGGCUAGUUCAAGCGAUCUUCCUAAAAUUGCUAUGUGGCAAGUAGUAUUACAGAGAAACCAUGUUUGUUUAAACGGGACAAAUCUGAGGGGGCAUGAAUUCUCAGAUAUUGAAAAACACACUGGAAUGUACUGUAGCUACUAGUUUGGAGAAUAAAGUGCCUUGUGCACCAGUGCCUAAAGAUAGACCUCAGGAACUCUGUGCUGAUUCUGUCAUUUUUUUUAGGAACUUAUGAACAGUACUUACAGUCCUAUUGCAUUAAAUGCACUUUUACCUGUUUCCAUAAUUUUAGCAGCAGAAAGUUAUCUCUGUCAAGAUGAGUUGAUCCGAUAUGUCAACUGGGAGUGUACAUGUUAUUUGUAUUUAUUUUUAACUGUUAUUUUACCAGGUGUGUUGACUGAGAAAACGUUCUCAUUUACAGCAAUGAUCUGGGGCCAUGCGUGUGAGGAGGAUAAAUCAGUCGGCAGCCUUUCAGAGAGAACUGAGGGAAUUAACUGUAUGACAACAGAAACCAGGAUCAACUGACAAAGUUCCUGCUGGAGUGUCGGAAUAUACCAAUCGCACGCACCCCCCCAUGCUGCUUCCCCCAUAUCACUGGGUUCACGGUGUUUGCCCUGCACCCUCUGGGCAAGCUGAAGGAGAUGGAUGAGAACAAAGACAUCUCAGCUGAUGGUGUCCAGUUUGUAAUUGACAUCUGAACCUACUCAUCCAGACCAGCUCUGUUGGAGAAAUUGUAUUCCGUUCAGACCACUGGGUGGUCUCUACUGGUCAGUGGACAGAACACUCACUUUAUAUUCCCUUCUGUUUAAUCCUGGUGGAUGAUUCAAGAACCGUUAAAGGCUCAGUUGAUCUGAGGCUAGAGGAAGAAUUCUGGGUAAAUUUUAAGGGUGGCUGUAUUCAGUCUGCUAACUGUGCCAAAGAGGUUAACUCAUUGUUCUGCUGAUUUUAUCUGAUGUACUUUUUAUUCUGUACACUAGGUACUUUAUGUUUUUACAGGAUUAAUUAAUGUAUAAUUAGUUUUGUUCAUGGGAACAAAUAUGUUCAAGUUGCAUUUUUAUAUGUGGUGUGUGGGUAGGCAGCCGAGUAUGAGGUGUUCUAGAGAUUUCUUCAAUUAUAAUCUCUGGGCCCUUUGACAGUGUGUGCUGUUCAGCUGCAGAAAAAAAUAAAUGAAAGAACUGAAAGAAAGGAAAAAGUUAAGGGUGCUUUGUGUGUUUUUAGUCAUGUAAUUGUUUGAAAAGACAAGGCAAUGGCCCGAGAAGGGUGGCGUUUGUGGUAUGUUUUGAAGUAACUCAUUGCCAAUGUAUAGAUAAUUAGUUUAGAGUAGGGAUCAACUAGAUUCGGCUGCGGGACAAUUUUGUUCCCACGAACAGACCUAUUUUACAAAAACGUAAUAAUUUCAAACCUUGCUUACGUUUGUAUACGAUCACAUAUCUCUCUAUUAUGGGUGGGAAUACUUUGAAACAGAUUUUCAAAAUUAAAAUCACUUGCAGCUGAUAUGCUGGUGUUUUUAGUCUUAUGUCCAACAAAACAAAUAUAAUAUACAGUGCCUUGCGAAAGUAUUCGGCCCCCUUGAA